GGACCUGACUGCUAUCGGAUUGAUACUAAGCCAUGUGAGUCAUUGUAGCAAUACAAGGCAGACGGCUCAGUAACACGUAGCCAAUCUACCCUAUGGACGGGGAUAACCUCGGGAAACUGAGGAUAAACCCCGAUAGAUCAUUAUGCCUGGAAUGGUUAAUGGUUCAAAUGAUUCGUCGCCGUAGGAUGGGACUGCGGCCUAUCAGCUUGUUGGUGAGGUAAUGGCCCACCAAGGCUAUUACAGGUACGGGCUCUGAGAGGAGAAGCCCGGAGAUGGGUACUGAGACACGGACCCAGGCCCUAUGGGGCGCAGCAGGCGAGAAACCUUUGCAAUGUGCGCAAGCACGACAAGGUUAAUCCGAGUGUUUCCUGCUAAAGGAAUCUUUUGUUAGUCCUAAAAACACUAGCGAAUAAGGGGUGGGCAAGUUCUGGUGUAAGGG
RNAcentral lists this ribosomal RNA (439 nucleotides) under uncultured archaeon. RNAcentral describes it as "bacterial SSU rRNA". It matches the Rfam family "Archaeal small subunit ribosomal RNA", at positions 19 to 463 of the family's 1478-position model. The record is from RNAcentral.